AAUCGCAGAGGGGAACUACCAAGGAAGUCUAUAUUAUAAAUGCUCCCAAAAUAACCAGAGUCCUGAGUUCACUGAACUCAGUAACAGCACCACAGAGGUCUCUCUGCACCUGUUUUUAAAAAAAAACAUGCAAGAUAAUCACUGAAAACUGCACCUUAAAUCUAAAGUACAUACUUCAUACCUCGAUUUUUAGCUAAAAAAAAAAA
Molecule: long non-coding RNA, 206 nt
Organism: Amblyraja radiata (thorny skate)
Lineage: Eukaryota; Metazoa; Chordata; Chondrichthyes; Rajiformes; Rajidae
Exons: 2
Source: RefSeq, a predicted model, not a curated record